Molecule: long non-coding RNA, 420 nt
Filed under: Trifolium pratense (red clover)
Lineage: Eukaryota; Viridiplantae; Streptophyta; Magnoliopsida; Fabales; Fabaceae
Description: long non-coding RNA (TPRA_LNC002294)
Source: RNAcentral
AAAUAAUAUAAAGUAGGACAGACUAGAACUAAGUAACCAAGUCACAUAAACAAGUCAUUUUAUGCCGAAACUGUUCAAUAAACGUUUUAGCCACACAUAUAAGACUAGUUGAUCCAUGAAAAACAUAGGUGAAGGAGAUUCUCCGGCGACGAGGGUUCAGAAGAGUGAUAGAGGAGGAAGUGGGAAAGAGCGUGUUGCAUAAUUUUCGACCAAAACGACAGAGAUGGAGAGUAAACGACACCGUUGCCAUGCUGGCAUUUGGUUCUUUCUGGAGAAGAAAUUGAAAUGCAAAUUUCUGAUAUUACAAUUUUGAAGCUCUGACUGUUGUUGGAGGCAGUGGCAGAAGAACGAAGUGUUUCGUAGUCAUCCAAAUCUGCCUCAUCCGACACUGUUGGAUGCCAUUUUUCCUUCUUAUCACAG